AAAAGUAGGUAACUGUAGUGGACCCUUUUAAAUGAAAGAAUGCAUAGUGGUAUAAUAACGGUGCCCCGCCCACCUCUGUGGGUGUGAGCCUGGCCUGUUGUCACUGUGGGUGGGUAGCACUUCACGCUACCCUGACUUCCUGACUUCAGCUCCGGUCUGUGAGUUGUGCAGGAAACUGAGUAGCUGCAUAUGUACUAGUACAAAGCUCUCUCUCACUCACUCAGCUCACUCAGCCCAUUGAUCGUUUGCACUGCAUGCAAGCGUGUCUUCACUAAAUCCACUUCACUUCUAGCCAUUCAUCCUCACUCGUUCAGUUGGUUUCGGGUAGUCUUGAUGCGAACAACUUUACUGCUUAUAUGUGCGGACUUACUCAAAUGCAACCAUCCUUUUCUUAGGGAUUGACAAAUGACAAUACACUUCAUUACCAGGCCUUUUUGUUCAUACACAUGUAGUUUGACUGGAACCUUGCUCACAUGUUGAUUUCUGCCAGAAAGCCUCUUGUUGUAAAAACUUUUACAUGAAUUGAUAAUUUGAAUUUUUCUCUCUCUUUCGAUCAUCAUCUGCUGCGUGCAUCCUGAACGGUAUCUUGGGACCUACUCUGGUUCUUAUGUGGAUUUAACCUCUCAUCUUGCUCCUCUCAUUGCGCUUUGGAUGCGUCACCAUGCCUGCUUACACCGGUGCAGCGAAUAAACCGAAAGAGAUGGAGGGUUAUGUUGGAUUCGCCAACCUUCCAAACCAGGUGUACAGGAGAUCCGUGAAGAGAGGCUUUGAGUUCACUCUCAUGGUAGUCGGUGAAUCUGGUCUUGGUAAAAGCACACUGAUCAACUCGCUAUUCCUCACAGAUAUCUACUCAGGGGAUUUCCCUGGACCAUCACAACGUAUCAAGAAAACAGUCAAGGUUGAAACAUCACAGGCCAACUUGAAGGAGAAUGGAGUUCAACUCAGGCUUACCAUUGUAGACACACCAGGUUUUGGGGACCAAGUAGACAACAGCAAUUGUUGGGCACCGAUCUUGGAUCACAUAGACAGCAAAUUUGAGGAGUACCUGAAUUCAGAGUCGAGAGUGAACAGAUAUUCAAUACCAGACAAAAGAGUACAAUGCUGUCUGUACUUCAUAGCACCUUCAGGUCAUGGGUUGAAGCCACUGGACAUAGAGUUCAUGAAGAGGUUACAUGACAAGGUUAAUAUUAUCCCACUCAUAGCCAAGGCAGAUACACUCACGCCAGAGGAGUGCAGAGAAUUCAAGAAAAGGAUAAUGGCUGAAAUAAACGAACACAAGAUCAAGAUCUACGAAUUCCCUGACAUCGAAGAAGAAGAAGACGAAAACAAGGAAAAUAAACGUCUAACACAACGGAGGAAUGGCCCUAAAGAGAAAGAAACUUCUCCAAACAGUCUGAAGGAACGGGUUCCAUUUGCAGUCGUUGGUAGCAACCACAUUAUGGAGGUCAGCGGGAAGCGGGUCAGAGGUCGACAGUACCCAUGGGGAAUUGCUGAAGUCGAGAACCUGGAUCACUGUGAUUUCAUUCCUCUGCGUAACAUGCUGAUCAGAACGCACAUGCAAGACCUCAAAGAUGUCACCAACAACGUCCACUAUGAGAACUUCAGGUGUCGCAAGCUCACCGCCGUCACGUCGGGAGAUGCAAAGAGAAGUGGAAAGUCUAGCUCUAAGAACCCCAUCGCUCAGUUUGAGGAGGAGAAGCUGGAGCAUGAUAAGAAGAUGAGGAAGAUGGAGUCCGAGAUGGAGCAAGUCUUUGAGAUGAAGGUCAAGGAGAAGCAAAAGGGAUUGGAAGACUCAGAAGCCGAUAUGCAAAAACGCUUAGAACAGAUGAAGAAGGGUCUGGAACAGCAGCAGCGUGACAUGGACGAGAAGAGGAGAAACUUUGAGAAGGAAAAGGAAGCAUUCGACGAGAACCAACGUAUUAGGGACGAACAACAUAAAGGAUCAAAGAAAGGAGGACUGUGGGCCAUGCAAAUUGCAUUCCACAGGAAGAAGAGCAUUCUCAUGAAACCACCCAAGCUCUUCAGCAGUACUGCCGAUUGACAGCGCCCUCUGUAGGUCGCGGGGAAACAACACUAACACCUUUUUUGUGGAUAAAAAAAAGCAAAAGAGAAUUCAUCAUACACAUCACUACCAUCACAUCACCUCAUGCGCUUUGUGCGCAACCGUAGUUUGACGUCAAGCCUUCCCCGCGACAGAAAUCUCCCCGUGCUGUUUUAUUCGACACUGGAUCCGAAAAAGGCCAAAGGAAAGAAAACUAUAUUCUGAAGACGGUCAUCCAGUCAUCGCAAUCUCCAAGAUAUUUUUUUUCUUCUUUUGUACAUUUUUCUACGUCCAGGAACUCUGUUAUCCCUUUAUGUGGUAAGAAAUGUCAUUACUGCUGCCUAGUGCAUAUUUUGUCCUCAAACGAUCACAGCACUGCUAGCUCUGAGGUCUACGUAUUAAGAUAAUUAGGCUCUGAGAGAAGGAACGGGACGAUAUGUUUUUAAUACGAAAUCUAGUCAUUAGUUAAUUAAUGGAUAAAUUGUUCAUCAUUCCCAUGCUUGUGAGAGCCUUGCAUGAUUUCAUUAUCUUUUUGAUCGCUAGGAAAACCAUUUUUUCAAUUGAGUUAAGUCAUCUUUUGAUGAGCACUUUCGUUUGUACUUUGAACUUUAUGAUUACCAUAUAAAAAAAGGUAUGUUUUCGCUUCAGUUUCAUCACGUCUAAUAUUUGUUCUAAAUUUUUCUAAAAGUGAUGGCAGGAAAGCAUUUCUCCAUUUUUAAAAACUUGUGCUGAAUCAGUGAAAAAACAAAUCCCCAAUGAACCGAAAACAUGUACAUUAUUUUGGCAUUUUUAGAGGUGAAAUAAAGUUAAUUAGGAAAAAGAAUUGCGUCUAUUAUUUUCAAAUCUGUGGCCCAGGUAACUCUAAUUGGUAAGGUUAUGUAUUGAUAUAGUCGGAAGUAAAAGAUCUCUAGAGAAUCUACUAUGUAAGAUUAUGUAUUUGUUAUUUUAGGGCUGUUCUUUUUCUAAUUAUUUUCAACGAUAUCAUACCUCAGUGCAGCUUAAGCCAUUAUUCCAGUCAUGGAUUAUUUUUCUCUUUGCCUAUUUUUUUUUCUCACUCCUGCUUUUCUUGGAAAGAUAAGAAAUAGGGGUAGUUAUUACAGUAUGGUGCUCUUUUCUGCUUUCCAAACUGUUUUUAGACAGACUAUUUUGUUCUUCUGAAUUUUUAGAUAGGGUGGAAGCAACCAAGCAGUGUCAGGGAUAAUGGAUGACAUUCUGUCGUGGUGUUAGUGUUUGACACUGAAUACCAAAUUGGAUGUCAAAUCAUCAUUUAGGUGUUACAGACAACACUAAGUUGACACCAACACCAAACCUGAAAUCGCCCAUUACUGUUGUAUUGUAGAUAUUUUCAAGACCAUCGCUUUUUAUAUGUUCUACCACAAUGGUUAUAAGUUACUUUAGUAUGUAUGUAUCAGAAACUAUUCUCUUGUUCUCCUGUAUCCAUAGCAACUAAUAUAGGCGUCGGCAUGUUGUUAUUUUUUUUGUAUGACUCCGUAUUUCAUAAUCCUAAUGGCAGUAUAGUUGACACAAUAAAAAAACCUCUCUAGAAAUCAUGUAUAGUUUCUACAAGGAGUCAUAACUUAAAUUCCCUUUUUCGGAGAACAAUUGAAUAACACAUGUGCCUAUGGUAUUUAUUAUUUUUUAUUAAACGAUGAUGACUAUGUGCUUGUAUAGAUUGAAUGUUGUGUACCUCUCCAAUAUAUGUAUGCAUCUAUUUUAUAACUUGUCUUUACUAUCCAAAUGUCUGUAGCAAAGAGAAAAUGUACAUGUAGAUAGAGUGCAGACAUUAUAGAACAAAAAACAAAAAUAGCAUUUUAGGCUUUUAUACGACAGUGGUUACAAAUAAUAGUGGACGUAGCGUCAAGAUAGAGUUGGCGUUAUUUUACUGGAGUAUAUACAUAUGUGUACAUAUCAUGUAAUUUAAAUUGCAAGGUUGCUUAGGCCCUCUGUUGGGCCUUUCCAACACCAUUUUUUUUUUUAUUUGUGGGACUAACAUGACUGCAUUUAUAAAUGAAACCGGCCAAAAAGUAAUUUUUGUUUUCUUUGUUUUUUCAUUGGAAUGUAUUUUUAUUGCACUUUUUUGUUUUAAUAGCUUUACAGAAAUGGAUAAUCUAUUGAAAUGCUGCUUUUGUUAUAAUAUUUGAUUUGUAGGGGGGAAAAGGUGAAUUGGUGUAGGUUUUGUGUUGUAAUUUUAUACGCACGUGGUUUCAAAUAGACUUGUACCUCACUGAAGAAACCUGCAAAGGGAAGUUCAACGUCAACGGAGGAAAUGGGAAAGGAUCGUGACAUAUCAACUCUUCCAGUAGUUUACACCAAUGAAGCGAUUGCCCUCGUCAUCAAAAACCAAUUUCAUCUGAAUUAUGCAACGUAAAAUUAGGCCAUAUUACAAUACUUCAUUUUUGUCUUCUUCAAGUAAUCUACUUCAUAACAUGGUGAUGGGUAUGAAAAUAAUAGUUGUGAUAUAUCUCAAAAACAAUUAGACAGAAUUUUCCAAGUGAUCUUAUUUUUUAUGAAAAAUAAGUUAUGACAAUAUUCUAAUCUAAUCUAAUCUUAAUUUUGUAUGUGGAAUACAUUCAAUAUUUGUAUACAUGAUAAAAUAUCCCUUAUGUCUUGUACGUACAAAAGUCAUGUACAUAUGAUAUGAACCACCAAGAGUAUGGACUAAAAAAACAAAACUGUUUGACAAACUAUGAUUGAAUAAAGUAUCCCAUGUUAUACGUUCAA
RNA transcript from Strongylocentrotus purpuratus (purple sea urchin), 4762 nucleotides. It is a transcript of the gene named septin-7, with no coding region annotated. The transcript has 15 exons. The record is from RefSeq and is a predicted model, not a curated record. NCBI's taxonomy places the organism in Eukaryota, Metazoa, Echinodermata, Echinoidea, Camarodonta, Strongylocentrotidae.